This 1032-nucleotide long non-coding RNA is filed under the name Carassius auratus (goldfish). Its description in RNAcentral is "lncRNA (ENSCARG00000042351.1)". Lineage: Eukaryota; Metazoa; Chordata; Actinopteri; Cypriniformes; Cyprinidae. The record is from RNAcentral.
UCCCAUCUCCACCUUAAACCUACCCGUCUCCACUCCUUGGAUCCCAUCUCCACCCUUAAACCUACCCGUCUCCACUCCCUGGAUCCCAUCUCCACCCUUAAACCUACCCUUCUCCACUCCCUGGAUCCCAUCUCCACCCUUAAACCUACCCGUCUCCACUCCCUGGAUCCCAUCUCCACCCUUAAACCUACCCGUCUCCACUCCCUGGAUCCCAUCUCCACCCUUAAACCUACCCUUCUCCACUCCCUGGAUCCCAUCUCCACCCUUAAACCUACCCGUCUCCACUCCCUGGAUCCCAUCUCCACCCUUAAACCUACCCUUCUCCACUCCCUGGAUCCCAUCUCCACCCUUAAACUUACCCUUCUCCACUCCCUGGAUCCCAUCUCCACCCUUAAACCUACCCUUCUCCACUCCCUGGAUCCCAUCUCCACCCUUAAACCUACCCGUCUCCACUCCCUGGAUCCCAUCUCCACCCUUAAACCUACCCUUCUCCACUCCCUGGAUCCCAUCUCCACCCUUAAACUUACCCUUCUCCACUCCCUGGAUCCCAUCUCCACCCUUAAACCUACCCUUCUCCACUCCCUGGAUCCCAUCUCCACCCUUAAACCUACCCGUCUCCACUCCCUGGAUCCCAUCUUCACCCUUAAACCUACCCGUCUCCACUCCCUGGAUCCCAUCUCCACCCUUAAACCUACCCUUCUCCACUCCCUGGAUCCCAUCUCCACCCUUAAACCUACCCUUCUCCACUCCCUGGAUCCCAUCUCCACCCUUAAACCUACCCGUCUCCACUCCCUGGAUCCCAUCUCCACCCUAAACCUAGCCUUCUUCACUCUCUUGAUCCCAUCUCCACCCUUAAACCUACCCGUCUCCACUCCCUGGAUCCCAUCUCCACCCUUAAACCUACCCGUCUCCACUCCCUGGAUCCCAUCUCCACCCUUAAACCUACCCGUCUCCACUCCCUGGAUCCCAUCUCCACCCUUAAACUUACCCUUCUCCACUCCCUGGAUCAAAUGGUUCCAAUUACUCUUAUAG